UUUCCUACGGGCGGCAGCAGUAGGGAAUAUUGGACAAUGGGCGAAAGCCUGAUCCAGCAAUGCCGCGUGAGUGAUGAAGGCCUUAGGGUUGUAAAGCUCUUUUACCCGGGAUGAUAAUGACAGUACCGGGAGAAUAAGCUCCGGCUAACUCCGUGCCAGCAGCCGCGGUAAUACGGAGGGAGCUAGCGUUGUUCGGAAUUACUGGGCGUAAAGCGCACGUAGGCGGCUAUUCAAGUCAGAGGUGAAAGCCCGGGGCUCAACCCCGGAACUGCCUUUGAAACUAGAUAGCUUGAAUCCAGGAGAGGUGAGUGGAAUUCCGAGUGUAGAGGUGAAAUUCGUAGAUAUUCGGAAGAACACCAGUGGCGAAGGCGGCUCACUGGACUGGUAUUGACGCUGAGGUGCGAAAGCGUGGGGAGCAAACAGGAUUAGAUACCCCAGUAGUCGG
This 445-nucleotide ribosomal RNA is filed under the name uncultured Sphingobium sp. RNAcentral describes it as "bacterial SSU rRNA". It matches the Rfam family "Bacterial small subunit ribosomal RNA", at positions 335 to 797 of the family's 1533-position model. The record is from RNAcentral. Lineage: Bacteria; Pseudomonadati; Pseudomonadota; Alphaproteobacteria; Sphingomonadales; Sphingobiaceae.